GCUCACUGAUAUAGAAUUUAAGAGCUGCAGUAUUUUAACUGUACAAAGGUAGCAUAAUCAUUAGUCUUUUAAUUGUAGGCUGGUAUGAAAGGUUAGACGUAGAAAUAACUGUCUUUAUUAUAUAGAGUGAGCUUUAUUUUUUUGUGAAAAAGCAAAAAUGAAUUAAAGGGACGAGAAGACCCUAUUAAGCUUUAAUAUAUUGAGUUUUAUUAUUAAUUAUUAAUUAUUAAUUAUUUAAUAUAUUUUAUUUGGGGCGAAUAGUAUAUUAAACAAUAUUUUUUAUAAUAAUUUUAGUUGAAGGGGUUUAGAUCCAACAAUAGGUUGAUUUUUAGAAUAAGUUACUAUAGGGAUAACAGCGUUAUAUUAUUUGAGAGUUCAUAUUGACAAUAAUGUUUGCGACCUCGAUGUUGGAUUAAGAUUCCUUUAUAAUGCAGAAGUUAAUAAGUGGUGGUCUGUUCGACCAAUAAUUUCUUACAUGAUCU
RNAcentral lists this ribosomal RNA (482 nucleotides) under Hypocambala polytricha. RNAcentral describes it as "partial large subunit ribosomal RNA". It matches the Rfam family "Bacterial large subunit ribosomal RNA", at positions 1861 to 2606 of the family's 2925-position model. The record is from RNAcentral. Lineage: Eukaryota; Metazoa; Arthropoda; Diplopoda; Spirostreptida; Cambalopsidae.